RNAcentral lists this ribosomal RNA (449 nucleotides) under uncultured bacterium. RNAcentral's name for it is "partial 16S ribosomal RNA". It matches the Rfam family "Bacterial small subunit ribosomal RNA", at positions 338 to 795 of the family's 1533-position model. The record is from RNAcentral.
CCUACGGGUGGCUGCAGUGGGGAAUAUUGGACAAUGGGCGCAAGCCUGAUCCAGCAAUACCGCGUGUGUGAAGAAGGCCUGAGGGUUGUAAAGCACUUUUAAUCGGGAGGAAUAGCGGUCGGUUAAUACCCGGUCGUCUGACAUUACCGAUAGAAAAAGCACCGGCUAACUCCGUGCCAGCAGCCGCGGUAAUACGGAGGGUGCAAGCGUGAAGCGGAGCUACUGGGCGUGAAGGGUGCAUACGGAUGUGAAAGCCCCGGGCUUAACCUGGGAACGGCAUUUGAAACUGAUCGACUAGAGUUGGGUAGAGGGGCGUGGAAUUUCAGGUGUAGCGGUGAAAUGCGUAGAUAUCUGAAGGAACACCAGUGGCGAAGGCGGCUCCCUGGACCCAAACUGACGCUGAGGCACGAAAGCGUGGGUAGCAAACAGGAUUAGAUACCCCGGUAGUC